AACGAACGCUGGCGGCAUGCCUAACACAUGCAAGUCGAACGAGAUCUUCGGGUCUAGUGGCGCACGGGUGCGUAACGCGUGGGAAUCUGCCCUCGGGUUCGGAAUAACCAUUGGAAACGAUGGCUAUUACCGGAUGAUGACGUUAAGUCCAAAGAUUUAUCGCCUGAGGAUAACCCCGGGUAGGAUUAGCUGGUUGGUGUGGUAAAGGCGCACCAAGGCGACGAUCCUUAGCUGGUCUGAGAGGAUGAUCAGCCACACUGGGACUGAGACACGGCCCAGACUCCUACGGGAGGCAGCAGUGGGGAAUAUUGGACAAUGGGCGAAAGCCUGAUCCAGCAAUGCCGCGUGAGUGAUGAAGGCCUUAGGGUUGUAAAGCUCUUUUACCCGAGAUGAUAAUGACAGUACCGGGAGAAUAAGCUCCGGCUAACUCCGUG
This 434-nucleotide ribosomal RNA is filed under the name uncultured bacterium. RNAcentral's name for it is "partial 16S ribosomal RNA". It matches the Rfam family "Bacterial small subunit ribosomal RNA", at positions 29 to 507 of the family's 1533-position model. The record is from RNAcentral.